This 24-nucleotide non-coding RNA is filed under the name Arabidopsis thaliana (thale cress). Lineage: Eukaryota; Viridiplantae; Streptophyta; Magnoliopsida; Brassicales; Brassicaceae. The record is from RNAcentral.
GUAAUUUGGAACAAGGACCUAACU